Molecule: non-coding RNA, 88 nt
Organism: Spirochaetes bacterium GWC1_61_12
Lineage: Bacteria; Pseudomonadati; Spirochaetota
Source: Rfam
GGAGAGGUGCGAGAGCGGCCGAAUCGGGCUCCCUGCUAAGGAGUUGUACCCCAAAAGGGUACCGGGGGUUCGAAUCCCCCCUUCUCCG